RNAcentral lists this non-coding RNA (187 nucleotides) under Nitrospinota bacterium. RNAcentral's name for it is "6S RNA". It matches the Rfam family "6S / SsrS RNA". From Rfam's summary of the family: E. coli 6S RNA was the first non coding RNA to be sequenced, but its function was unknown until recently. Lineage: Bacteria; Pseudomonadati; Nitrospinota. The record is from RNAcentral.
UUAACCCUCGCCGCGCUCGAUAAGGGCGGAAAUUUUUUGAGCCAAUACAUUUUUUGGGGGGCUACCCAGCCCGCCUGUUGCGCAGAUCCCGGAGUGAUCCGGGAAAGCCUGAUGGCGGACGCGGCGGCAUCCACUUGGCUAGACCAGGUUCAAAAAAUUACGUCCAACGGCGCGGAUGGGGGUUUAU